This is a non-coding RNA of Oryctolagus cuniculus (rabbit), 558 nucleotides long. The record is from RefSeq and is a predicted model, not a curated record. Lineage: Eukaryota; Metazoa; Chordata; Mammalia; Lagomorpha; Leporidae.
CACAGCAGAAGUACCUUAAAUGUAUUGGUGUAGACCACAGAAAUCCAAUUCCAACAGCAGUGCAAGUGUUGUAUAACAUUAGAAAAUUAUUUCUCAAAGUAGCUUGCACAAUCAGCAAAUCAGUGGGGACAGAAACAAGGAUAGUCACUAUUUUACAGGUGCAGGUUAUAAAGGACCCUAUCACUGGUAUGUGCAAACAAAUAGCAUUCCCUGGACAUCCCAAGAACACCUCCUGACCGACAUUUCUGACAGGAUAGCAGCAUGGGAGCAUCAUGUACAUAGACUGAGAGCGAAGCGUGUGGAGUUGGUUCCCUGGGAUCAUGCCGUUCAAGGAGACAAGGUCUCUCUGUUGUGAAUGAAGCAUUCCAUUCUUUUGUAAAAUGCUCUAACGGAGAAACAUAGAUUAACUGCAUGGAGGAAGUAUUAAUUUCAUAGUAAUGUGAAUGGGGGGCUGCAAUCACCAGUAACAGAAGCUGUCAAAACGCUUGCAAGGAUGUUCUGGAUCUGAUUAACCUCCUCACUAUCUUCAUACUUGACCCAGAAAGAAGGAAUACAUGU